UAGGGAAUCUUCGGCAAUGGACGAAAGUCUGACCGAGCAACGCCGCGUGAGUGAAGAAGGUUUUCGGAUCGUAAAACUCUGUUGUUAGAGAAGAACAAGGACGUUAGUAACUGAACGUCCCCUGACGGUAUCUAACCAGAAAGCCACGGCUAACUACGUGCCAGCAGCAGCGGUAAUACGUAGGUGGCAAGCGUUGUCCGGAUUUAUUGGGCGUAAAGCGAGCGCAGGCGGGUUCUUAAGUCUGAUGUGAAAGCCCCCGGCUCAACCGGGGAGGGUCAUUGGAAACUGGGAGACUUGAGUGCAGAAGAGGAGAGUGGAAUUCCAUGGGUAGCGGUGAAAUGCGUAGAUAUAUGGAGGAACCCCAGUGGCGAAGGCGGCUCUCUGGUCUGUAACUGACGCUGAGGCUCGAAAGCGUGGGGAGCAAACAUG
This 429-nucleotide ribosomal RNA is filed under the name Gemmatimonadota bacterium. Its description in RNAcentral is "Gemmatimonadetes bacterium partial 16S ribosomal RNA". It matches the Rfam family "Bacterial small subunit ribosomal RNA", at positions 355 to 776 of the family's 1533-position model. Lineage: Bacteria; Pseudomonadati; Gemmatimonadota. The record is from RNAcentral.